AAAAUAUAAAUUAAUAACAAUAAAUAGUAUAAUAAAAGUAAUUUUAAUAUUAAAAUAAAUAAUGGGGGUUAAAGUAUUUUAAUAGAAAAAAUUAUAAAUUUUAUAGAAAAUUAGUAUAGUAAUAGAAAUUUGAAAUAUUUGAAAAUAAAUUUAUAAAAAAGUAAAUUUUAUUUAUUGUAUCUUGUGUAUCAGAGUUUAUUAAAAAAAAUUUUUUAAUUAAAAAAAUCUCGAAUUUAAAAGAGUUAAUUAAUUAAAAAAAUUUAAUGUAAAAUAAUUAUUUUAAAUAAUUAAUUAGAAAUGAAAUGUUAAUCGUUUUUAAAUAUAUCUAGUUAUUUUAGAAAAAAAUUUAAUUUUAAAUUUAUUUAAUUUAAAAUAUUAAUUAAUUUAAUAUUUAAAAAAUUAAAUUUUAUAAUUUAAGGGAUAAACUUUAAAUUAAAUUAUUAUAAUAUAAAAAUUUUUUUUUUUAAAAUUUUUAAAAUUUAUAUUGUUUAAAAAUUAAAAUUUUUUAUAAAAAUUUUUAAUAAAAAUAAAAUUUAAUAAAUUAAAUUUAAUUUUUUAUAAAAUUAUAAUAUUUAAUAAAUAAAUAUUAGAAAAAAUGAUAAAAUUAGUAUAAUAAAUAUAAUUAUAAUAAUAUAUUAUAAAUUAAUUAUAUAAAAGGAAUUCGGCAAAUAUAUAUAUUCACCUGUUUAACAAAAACAUGUCUUUUUGAUAAAUAAUUUAAAGUCGAAUCUGCCCACUGAUAAAAUUAUUAAAGGGCUGCAGUAUAUUGACUGUACAAAGGUAGCAUAAUCAUUAGUCUUUUAAUUGAAGACUUGUAUGAAGGAUUUGAUGAAAUAUAAACUGUCUCUUAUAUAUUAAUAGAAUUUAAUUUUUUAGUUAAAAAGCUAAAAUUUAUUUAAAAGACGAGAAGACCCUAUAGAGUUUUAUAAUUAUUUUUUAAUUAUUUAUUUAUAAAUAUAAAAAAUUUUUAUUAAAUAAUUAUUUUAUUGGGGUGAUAAAAAAAUUAAAAUAACUUUUUUUAAUAAAUUAACAAAUAUAAAUGAAUAAUUGAUCCAUAAAUUAUGAUUAAAAGAAAUAAUUACCUUAGGGAUAACAGCGUAAUUUUUUUUUUUAGUACAAAUAAAAAAAAAAGUUUGCGACCUCGAUGUUGGAUUAAGAUAAAAUUUAAAUGCAAAAGUUUAAAAUUUUGAUCUGUUCGAUCAUUAAAAUCUUACAUGAUCUGAGUUCAAACCGGUGUAAGCCAGGUUGGUUUCUAUCUUUAGAAAAUUAAAAUAUUUUAGUACGAAAGGAUCAAAUAUUUAAAAUAAUUUUAUUAAAUUAUGAAUAUUAUUAACUAAAAUAUA
RNAcentral lists this ribosomal RNA (1343 nucleotides) under Lycaena phlaeas (common copper). Its description in RNAcentral is "16S ribosomal RNA". Lineage: Eukaryota; Metazoa; Arthropoda; Insecta; Lepidoptera; Lycaenidae. The record is from RNAcentral.